This 591-nucleotide long non-coding RNA is filed under the name Pongo abelii (Sumatran orangutan). RNAcentral describes it as "lincRNA". Lineage: Eukaryota; Metazoa; Chordata; Mammalia; Primates; Hominidae. The record is from RNAcentral.
UCCAGCUAUUUCGCCCAACCCAUAUUAGACUGUGUUAUAAAGACAUGGUAAAUUACAUCACGAAGGGAAGAGCAGAGGAAACAUAAUAUUCCUUCAAGACCCAUCAGCUCAGAUGUUAGCAGAACACUCCUAAGGAGGAAAACAAGAAAUUUUGGGUUUGAACUUGGUACUUCCCAGCAGCCCUGGGAGUGGGGUCAGAAGCCCUGCUGGUGGGGGCGAAGAACUCUGAGGAUCAAAGAUGUUGAUCAUCACCAGGAAGCUCACUGCAGCAAUAAUCAUGAUGCACUGAGCCUGACAAGGAGGUUACUUAUGAGAAACAAGCUUGAAAUCUCUGCACCUGAACCAGCUUCCAGAGGCUUUUGUCCUAACCAGCUGGAUUUGGGGAAGUAAAGGAAACCAGGUAAGAAGGGGCUGAAAGAAUUGGUUUCCACCGUGACCUUUGAACCCUCGGGCGAGUUGUCAACCUCACUGAGGAUGAGUGUCCUCGAUAUCAAACGAGGUCACUUUACUCGCAAGCUUGUUGUGAGGACUGAAUGAAACCUUUUCUUUUUUCUUGGAGUUUCAGAGCAACGUCCCUGAGCCGAGCCCCAC